UCCACGUACACGUGCCGUGGGGGGGCACGUACGAAGAGGGCAGCCCACGUGUCUGCAUAUUCACGUAUGUGGCACGUGCAGCACGCACAGUGUGUGUACGUGCGUGUCCCUGUGUGUCCAGGGACGUAGACAACCUGGCCUCCAGGAGUUUCGGACGUCCUUCCCACCCCAAGACCUCUGGCCCCACCGCUCUCCCAGGCUGUCAGAGGUGGAGACACCUGGGGGCCCGGGAAGGCGGGCUGCAGCCAUGCAGCAGACAGGACCCCGGGAAGCAGCGCAGGAAGCUCCGGAUGGUCGAGGCCUGGGUCAGCAGCACGUGGCUGGGGCCGUGGAACUGACAGGAAGACUCUCUGUGCGUGUCCCACGGCCCCUGAAGGAAGCCAGGUGUUCUUUGGGGAGGGCGAUCUGGGGCAAGUAUGGUCACAUGGGUGGGGGCAGGAGGGCCCUGAUGUGGGUGUGCCUGCGGGAUCCGCCGGCCGGGGGCAGGGCUGGGGGCCUUGUAGGAGUGACCGGUGUCCUGGGAGGUGGGUCACAGCCUGGCGGGAGGGCCCAGCUGAGGGGCAGAGCUGACUGGCAUCUAGAGGGACCCCUCUGGCCACAGACUGGACGAGAGAUUCUCAGGGACCAAGGGCAGGGAGCCACACAGGACUCUGGUGUCCUGUCCCCAGAAGAAGGGCUUGGGUUGGGGGUGUGCUGGUCUGACCGCAGGGCUGGAGUCUGGACGGGUGGGGAGCCUGCAGGGGAGCGGACGAGCGCAUGAGGGCUCCGGAGAGUCAGGCCAGGGUGGGGCUGAGCCAGUGGGCACCGGGGACACCUGCAGGUGUGGGCGGGGGGCUCGGGUUAAGGCCUGCUCCCCAGAGGCCCAGCUGUGCUCCCUGUGGGUGAGGGGGGAGCUGGGUUAGAAGAACCGAGUCAGGAGUGAGAGCCUCAGGCACAAGGUGGGUGAGGCCACAGCUCCAGCCAAGAAAAGGUAGCCACAGAGCUACGGUGAUUUUUCCCACAUGGAUUUAUUGUUGGUGAUGCGUCACACAAGAUGCCGACCACGGACACAGACAGACACAUGCGACACCCGUUAUCUAUGCAGAGUACUCAGCUCCUCAGAAGGAGGCAGACCCGGUUCCUGUUGGCCACGACCCCCGACAGUACACGAGCUGGUUUCCCUGCGCGGGGAGCUCCUCGGCCCCGGGCACCAGGGUCCCCUUGCUGGGCCACCACGCGGCAGGGUUCUGACUUCUGGCAGCUGCUUCCCUCCAGGCGACGCGGGCCGCAGUCUGCACCGGCGUGGCUGAUAUUCCUUAACCGACAACUGGAACGUUGGCAAGCAGAUGUUCAGAAACCAACCCUGCGUUCUGAGAACUGGCUUUGAUUCACAGGGAAAAAGGAUUUAAAACAGCCAUUCCCUAACGUAAACGGUGUUGUUACUGAUGCGACGUGUGCCUGCGAGAAAUCAAGUCCCGGGGGGGCUUCCUCUCCAGGGCCCAGGUCUCCAGGCCGCCUGCCACGGGCACGCUGUGUGGUCAGGGCCCGCCAGGUAGGCACGCGCUCCACACGUGAGGAGCACGCCUUCUCCCAUGGCCGGGGGUCCACGUGAGGUGGCCACGGCUGACUGGGGUUCACUCGGACCCCCCGGAGUUUUAUUUCUCUUGGCUAGAAGGAAAUACAGAGCAUCUGCGCUGCACACGCCGGGGCCCUUGGGGGGCCGCGAGCGACUGGGUGCGUGGCGUGGAGACACGUGGUGGCCCCCAGUUUGUUGCCUUGUGCGGUUUCCCCGCUGUGCCUUCUGCACAAUGAGGCGAAAUAUGACAACGGGCUUUCUUAAGUUGAGCCCAAACGGAACACCCAGGAAGUUACAAGCACUGGGCUCUUGGCAUCCACAAUUACCACUUUUCUCCUCAACACACGGGCGACAGCAGGACCCGCGCUGCAGGGCGGCCGGGGAGGGGAGCUGGUGGGGCACACACGGAACGCGGACGGACGGACGUCUUCUACCUGCGGGGACGGCACAGAUCUACGGCAAGUGAUCACAGCGACACAGCACGGACGGCCAGUCCCGUCCUGGCGGCAAGGAAGGGGCGCAGGGGGUCAGGGCUGAGCCUCUGCGUGGUGCGGUCCCGGGGAUGCAGAAGGGGGACCCUCCGAGCAGCCGUCUCUCCCGAAGCCCGGCUUCCCGCGGCGGGGCCCCCCGGCCUCUGCGUCCUCUACACCAGGAGCCAGUGGCGCAGCUAGAAAGGAAACGGCCUCUUCAGGAGCAAAGCGGGGAGCCACUUGGGUAAAGGCGGCUCCUGGGCUGCGGGCCCCGCUCGGGCCGAGAGACCCGCCAGCAGAGCGCCCGGCCGCCACGCAGCACGCUCAGCCGGGCACGCUGGCCUGGGGCGCCACGGGCCGGACGCCCACGGUAAGCUUGUAGGAAUACGCCUCGCGUAAACAGCCUUCCACGUAAUGUAAACAUACGUGCAUAAACCACACGUGAAUACUUA
Neofelis nebulosa (Clouded leopard) is the source of this 2477-nucleotide long non-coding RNA. RefSeq lists it as uncharacterized. The record is from RefSeq and is a predicted model, not a curated record. The transcript is spliced from 2 exons. Lineage: Eukaryota; Metazoa; Chordata; Mammalia; Carnivora; Felidae.